This 89-nucleotide transfer RNA is filed under the name Ignavibacteriaceae bacterium. RNAcentral's name for it is "tRNA-Ser". It matches the Rfam family "tRNA". Rfam says of the family: Transfer RNA (tRNA) molecules are approximately 80 nucleotides in length. Their secondary structure includes four short double-helical elements and three loops (D, anti-codon, and T loops). Lineage: Bacteria; Pseudomonadati; Ignavibacteriota; Ignavibacteria; Ignavibacteriales; Ignavibacteriaceae. The record is from RNAcentral.
GGAAAGGUGCCGGAGUGGUUGAACGGGCUCGCCUGGAAAGCGUGUAAACUCUGAAAGGGGUUUCGAGGGUUCGAAUCCCUCCCUUUCCG